UCAGAUCUCGACAUGACGACUAGAGGUACUUAAGAAAAGAUGCUUCUGUUUGCUUGCUGUGCCCAGUUGGAACACAAGCAGAGAGUGGCACGCGUCUAGUGCAUGGCCACAAUCACAAUGCCUGGAGUCCUUACUCCUUGUCCAAUUACUUUCUUAACCUCCUGAAAAUAAAAUCGGGAAGGAAGCAAGUCACUUCUAAAAACACACGAGAGGAUUUAUGGUCAAUAUGCGGGAGAUAAAAAUCAAAGGAGCCACUGCUGCACCUCUGCUUCUCCAUCAGUUUAAAAAGAGUGCAUACAAACAACAGAUCCGCCUGUGCAGAGGGGUUAGCCCGUCAAAAGGAGAUCAAAAGCACUUCUCUUUUUCAGAUUCGCUUGACUGCUUGGUUACUCCAAAGAGGAGAUGCCCCAUUCUCUCUGGAUCUGAGCCUCUUGCCUCCCUGUGUCUCAACCCUAUCAGGAAAUAUCCAUGCUUUGUCCUAAGCUGGAGACCAAAGUUAAGGGGGACAGCCUGAGACACUUGCCUUCAGUAACCUCUCCAGCUGCAAAGUGAAUGACGUCUAGUGCGAUGCUUUUUCUAAAGCCUAAUCAGUUCCCACAGUCACAGAAUUAGAGGGAAAGAAAGGAAGAAAAAAGAAGAUAGAUGGGUUUGGCAGAAGGUAAGUUGCUAUUACUAUAUUCUGUAAACAUGAAAUUGUCCCAUUAAAAUGAUUCUGAAUUAGUGUGACACAGUCCGGAGAAAAAAGGUUUGUAUAGAACCUCUUCAGGGGCAAGAAAAACCUCAAUGAGUAGCUAGGACUGAUUAGGAUGCCAUGGCAGGGGGCCACCUGGGUGGCUCAGGUCCUGAUCCCGGGGUCUUGGGAUUGAGUCUCCCAUCGGGCUCCCCACAAGGAACCUGCUUCUCCCUCUGCCUAUGUCUCUGCCUCCCUCUGUC
This 933-nucleotide long non-coding RNA is filed under the name Canis lupus familiaris (dog). RNAcentral's name for it is "lncRNA (ENSCAFG00000055662.1)". The record is from RNAcentral. Lineage: Eukaryota; Metazoa; Chordata; Mammalia; Carnivora; Canidae.